GUUUUGUUUUUGUUUUUGUUUUUUUUCCUCCUAGUGCCACUGAUGUCUUCCCUUAGCCUCUCCUCUCCAGAAUUUUUCCAGGAGGGAAUCAGAUACUGGUACUUGUGUCUACCAAACUCCAGAGAACCCUAGCCAAGCCAUCCAACUAAUUUUCUUGAAUCUUCAUAUUUGGAUCAAGAGUUACUGGACGUUUAAAUUUGCAUAUAUGGUUGGCAUUAUAUUUCUAUUGGACAGCAUUGUUCUAUUUAAUUGCCUUAAAAAAAGGAGAUUUCGAGGAGGAGUCAAGAUGGCGGAGAAGUAACAGGCUGAGACUACUUCAGCUAGCAGGAGAUCAGCUAGAUAGCUUAUCUAAAGAUUGCAAACACCUGAAAAUCCAUCAGCAGAUUGAAGAGAAGAAGAACAGCAAUUCUGGAA
Molecule: long non-coding RNA, 414 nt
Filed under: Mustela putorius furo (domestic ferret)
Lineage: Eukaryota; Metazoa; Chordata; Mammalia; Carnivora; Mustelidae
Description: lncRNA (ENSMPUG00000026579.1)
Source: RNAcentral